This 522-nucleotide ribosomal RNA is filed under the name uncultured fungus. RNAcentral describes it as "SSU rRNA". It matches the Rfam family "Eukaryotic small subunit ribosomal RNA", at positions 569 to 1092 of the family's 1831-position model. Lineage: Eukaryota; Fungi. The record is from RNAcentral.
AGCAGCCGCGGUAAUUCCAGCUCCAAUAGCGUAUAUUAAAGUUGUUGCAGUUAAAAAGCUCGUAGUUGAAUUUCGGGAUCAAUUUGCUGGUCGUGCCUCUGGUACGUACUGGUAUUAUUGGUUUCUCCCUUCUGACGAACCAUGAUGUCAUUAAUUUGAUGUCGUGGAGAAUCAGGACUGUUACUUUGAAAAAAUUAGAGUGUUUAAAGCAGGCAUUAGCUUGAAUACAUUAGCAUGGAAUAAUGAAAUAGGACGUUUGAUCCUAUUUUGUUGGUUUCUAGGAUUGACGUAAUGAUUAAUAGGGAUAGUUGGGGGCAUUAGUAUUCAAUUGUCAGAGGUGAAAUUCUUGGAUUUAUUGAAGACUAACUACUGCGAAAGCAUUUGCCAAGGAUGUUUUCAUUAAUCAAGAACGAAAGUUAGGGGAUCGAAGACGAUCAGAUACCGUCGUAGUCUUAACCAUAAACUAUGCCGACUAGGGAUCGGAUGAUGUUAAUUUUUUAAUGACUCAUUCGGCGCCUUACG